This is a long non-coding RNA of Triticum aestivum (bread wheat), 721 nucleotides long. RefSeq lists it as uncharacterized. NCBI's taxonomy places the organism in Eukaryota, Viridiplantae, Streptophyta, Magnoliopsida, Poales, Poaceae. The record is from RefSeq and is a predicted model, not a curated record. The transcript is spliced from 2 exons.
GCAUUUUUUCAUUUACUGUAAAAAUAUAUUUUUUAAAUAUAAAUCCCCAUUUCUUCAAAAAAGGAAAAAGAAAUUGAGAGCUUGCGGUUGUUAUCCCCUGUUUUUUGUGAAUAAUGUUGUGUAUACAGUUUUACUUUGAAAAAGUUGUGGUUGUGUGGCCAUGUAGAUACUCCUGUUACUUUUUUUGUUCCAUGCGAUAUGACUACUUGAGAUGUUUUAAUGAGUCAGGGAACAUAUAAAACACAUCCAUCGUGAAAUAUCAAACUAUACAUAAACCACCAACGACGCGCGACGAGAACUAGCUGUCUCGUGAAGUAAGGGCAUAUCCAUGCACUUAAUUUCAUCUUUAAUUCCACAUCCUUAUAAUUUUCUAAAGUGCAGAAUCCCAUCUAGGGACUUCCAGUAUUUUCUCUUCCAUCGGUAACUUCCACUUGAAACCGUUCCCAAUGGAAGAACAGUGCACUAUAUCACAAAGGAAUGCCUUAUCUACCAUUGUUGCUCUGCUUAUUCAUCUACAAUGAGAUGCUCUUCAUGAAAGACAUAGCAUGGGCUGCAACCUUAACAGUUUCUUCCGGUUCUGCACUACUUACAAGAUCAGUGUUUUCUUCUUAUUUUGUCUUGCAUGAAUGAAAUGAUCAGUCUCUAUGGUGAACAUGAUCAUUGUAAUUUUUUGUUUGUUAUUCAUGCUGGGCUAAGGAGGGAAAUGUCUAAUUUUAUAGCA